GAUGAACGCUGGCGGCGUGCCUAACACAUGCAAGUCGAGCGAACCCUUCGGGGUGAGCGGCGGACGGGUGAGUAACGCGUGGGUAACCUGCCCUAUACACACGGAUAACGUACCGAACGGUGCGCUAAUACGGGAUAAAGUUGUUGGAUGGCAUCUUCUAACAAUCAAAGCUCCGGCGGUAUAGGAUGGACCCGCGUCUGAUUAGCUAGUUGGUGAGGUAAUGGCUCACCAAGGCGACGAUCAGUAGCCGACCUGAGAGGGUGAUCGGCCACACUGGAACUGAGACACGGUCCAGACUCCUACGGGAGGCAGCAGUGGGGAAUAUUGCACAAUGGGCGAAAGCCUGAUGCAGCAACGCCGCGUGAGCGAUGAAGGUCUUCGGAUCGUAAAGCUCUGUCCUCAAGGAAGAUAAUGACGGUACUUGAGGAGGAAGCCCCGGCUAACUACGUGCCAGCAGCCGCGGUAA
Molecule: ribosomal RNA, 466 nt
Filed under: uncultured bacterium
Lineage: Bacteria
Description: partial 16S ribosomal RNA
Rfam family: Bacterial small subunit ribosomal RNA
Source: RNAcentral